RNAcentral lists this ribosomal RNA (495 nucleotides) under uncultured bacterium. RNAcentral's name for it is "partial 16S ribosomal RNA". It matches the Rfam family "Bacterial small subunit ribosomal RNA", at positions 28 to 507 of the family's 1533-position model. The record is from RNAcentral.
GACGAACGCUGGCGGCGUGCCUAAUACAUGCAAGUCGAACGCUGAAGGAGGAGCUUGCUUCUCUGGAUGAGUUGCGAACGGGUGAGUAACGCGUAGGUAACCUGCCUGGUAGCGGGGGAUAACUAUUGGAAACGAUAGCUAAUACCGCAUAAUAGUAGAUGUUGCAUGACAUUUGCUUAAAAGGUGCAAUUGCAUCACUACCAGAUGGACCUGCGUUGUAUUAGCUAGUUGGUGAGGUAACGGCUCACCAAGGCGACGAUACAUAGCCGACCUGAGAGGGUGAUCGGCCACACUGGGACUGAGACACGGCCCAGACUCCUACGGGAGGCAGCAGUAGGGAAUCUUCGGCAAUGGACGGAAGUCUGACCGAGCAACGCCGCGUGAGUGAAGAAGGUUUUCGGAUCGUAAAGCUCCGUUGUAAGAGAAGAACGAGUGUGAGAGUGGAAAGUUCACACUGUGACGGUAUCUUACCAGAAAGGGACGGCUAACUACGUG